This 909-nucleotide ribosomal RNA is filed under the name Galerina vittiformis. Its description in RNAcentral is "LSU rRNA". It matches the Rfam family "Eukaryotic large subunit ribosomal RNA", at positions 66 to 963 of the family's 3401-position model. Lineage: Eukaryota; Fungi; Basidiomycota; Agaricomycetes; Agaricales; Galerinaceae. The record is from RNAcentral.
UAACAGGAUCCCUAGUAACUGCGAGUGAAGCGGGAAAAGCUCAAAUUUAAAAUCUGGCGGUCUUAGGCUGUCCGAGUUGUAAUCUAGAGAAGUGUUAUCCGCGCUGGACCGUGUACAAGUCUCCUGGAAUGGAGCGUCAUAGAGGGUGAGAAUCCCGUCUUUGACACGGACUGCCAGGGCUUUGUGAUGCGCUCUCAAAGAGUCGAGUUGUUUGGGAAUGCAGCUCAAAAUGGGUGGUAAAUUCCAUCUAAAGCUAAAUAUUGGCGAGAGACCGAUAGCGAACAAGUACCGUGAGGGAAAGAUGAAAAGAACUUUGGAAAGAGAGUUAAACAGUACGUGAAAUUGCUGAAAGGGAAACGCUUGAAGUCAGUCGCGUUGGCCGGGGAUCAACCUUGCUUUUGCUGGGCGUACUUCCCGGUUGAUGGGUCAGCAUCAAUUUUGACCGUUGGAUAAAGGUUAGGGGAAUGUGGCAUCUUCGGAUGUGUUAUAGCCCUUGGUCGCAUACAACGGUUGGGAUUGAGGAACUCAGCACGCCGCAAGGCCGAGUAUUUAUACUACGUUCGUGCUUAGGAUGCUGGCAUAAUGGCUUUAAUCGACCCGUCUUGAAACACGGACCAAGGAGUCUAACAUGCCUGCGAGUGUUUGGGUGGAAAACCCGAGCGCGUAAUGAAAGUGAAAGUUGAGAUCCCUGUCGUGGGGAGCAUCGACGCCCGGACCAGACCUUUUGUGACGGCUCCGCGGUAGAGCAUGUAUGUUGGGACCCGAAAGAUGGUGAACUAUGCCUGAAUAGGGUGAAGCCAGAGGAAACUCUGGUGGAGGCUCGUAGCGAUUCUGACGUGCAAAUCGAUCGUCAAAUUUGGGUAUAGGGGCGAAAGACUAAUCGAACCAUCUAGUAGCUGCUCUGCGGAG